GACUGCUGCUGUGGAGCAGCUCUUGCCCACUGCAGCUUUUUUCCCACCAGGACAGCCCAAUCCACAGCACUUACAGGACAGAAGUACAGACUGCUGCCUCUGUGCAAGAUAUUUCCUUCCACUCUGUUCAUGCAAGCCCAAAGAAGAGAAGGUGAAGACAAAAGAGAGACUCAUAGCAGCAAGGAGAAAGGAAAGAGGCACCUCAGUAAAUCUUGGAUUCACAUUCUCAGUGUGAACUGGUUUGAACUAGUAAGCUCAUAAUUGCCUAAAUCAAAACAGGCACCUAGUCAAGAUGGCUCCUACAUUAAUCAGCAUCAGUUACACUUUGAA
Long non-coding RNA from Passer domesticus (house sparrow), 330 nucleotides. RefSeq lists it as uncharacterized. The record is from RefSeq and is a predicted model, not a curated record. The transcript has 2 exons. NCBI's taxonomy places the organism in Eukaryota, Metazoa, Chordata, Aves, Passeriformes, Passeridae.